Molecule: ribosomal RNA, 238 nt
Filed under: uncultured bacterium
Lineage: Bacteria
Description: partial 16S ribosomal RNA
Rfam family: Bacterial small subunit ribosomal RNA
Source: RNAcentral
GAUCCUAGCUCAGGAUGAACGCUAGCUACAGGCUUAACACAUGCAAGUAGAGGGGCAGCAUGAACUUAGCUUGCUAAGUUUGAUGGCGACCGGCGCACGGGUGAGUAACACGUAUCCAACCUGCCGAUGACUCGGGGAUAGCCUUUCGAAAGAAAGAUUAAUACCCGAUGGCAUAGUUCUUCCGCAUGGUGGAACUAUUAAAGAAUUUCGGUCAUCGAUGGGGAUGCGUUCCAUUAGG